Non-coding RNA from Chitinophaga pinensis DSM 2588, 234 nucleotides. The record is from Rfam. Lineage: Bacteria; Pseudomonadati; Bacteroidota; Chitinophagia; Chitinophagales; Chitinophagaceae.
AAAGGGUUAAAACCUAAGGUCUAGUCAACUAUCGGAAGCGAGUCUUGCGUAGUCAUCAGAAAUGAUGGCACGAAGCGUAGACAGCGACUGCUGAAGGUAUGCUAUUGAGCCUCAAAAUGACACCUGCUGGGUACGGCGGCUGGAUUUGCCUCCGAUAUUUUUUAACUUUGAAUACAGUACCAUGGCCAAACAAGAACCACGAUUCUCAAAAGAAUUUCAAGCAGUUUAAGAGCA